This 301-nucleotide ribosomal RNA is filed under the name uncultured bacterium. Its description in RNAcentral is "partial 16S ribosomal RNA". It matches the Rfam family "Bacterial small subunit ribosomal RNA", at positions 509 to 807 of the family's 1533-position model. The record is from RNAcentral.
CAGUAGCCGCGGGAAUACAGAGGGUGCGAGCGUUAAUCGGAUUUACUGGGCGUAAAGCGUGCGUAGGUGGUGGUUUAAGUCCGUUGUGAAAGCCCUGGGCUCAACCUGGGAAUUGCAGUGGAUACUGGGUCACUAGAGUGUGGUAGAGGAUAGUGGAAUUUCCGGUGUAGCAGUGAAAUGCGUAGAGAUCGGAGGGAACAUCUGUGGCGAAGGCGACUAUCUGGGCCAACACUGACACUGAGGCACGAAAGCGUGGGGAGCAAACAGGAUUAGAUACCCGGGUAGUCCCUGUCUCUUAUAC